Molecule: long non-coding RNA, 815 nt
Filed under: Micromonas pusilla
Lineage: Eukaryota; Viridiplantae; Chlorophyta; Mamiellophyceae; Mamiellales; Mamiellaceae
Description: long non-coding RNA (MPUS_LNC000179)
Source: RNAcentral
GACGACGGACGCGACGGGGAAGACGGCGGUGACGCCGUGGUCGCACCGCGUCGACGACGCGGCGGCGGCGGCGGAUGAGGAGAUUCGCGUCGCGUUGGCCGCGGGCGACGCGCUUCUGUUGGACGGGCGGACGACGCACCGCGGGCUCGCGAACACGUCGAACAGGAGCGAGAAGGACGGGACAGCAGGGAUGCGCGAUCGCGUGCGGAGGAUGUGCUUCUUCACGUUCAAGCGGCCGGGGAUCACGGACGGGAACGCAGCCGCGUACCUGAGCGACGGCGACGACGAGAGCGACGACGACGAGAGCGACGGGAGCGACGACGGGAGCGACGACGGGAGCGACGACGGGAGCGCCGAGGAGGAGGAGGAGAACGAGGAGGGGAGCGAGCGCGACGACGUUCGCGGUGACGCUCCCGCGGGGAAGAAGGCGAGGACGCGCGGCGUCGAGAAGGUAGGAGGACCCAGUAGCUAGUACGAUAGCCUCGGCGGCUGAAUACCGCGACGAUCGCCCGCUACCAGGGUUUAGGGUUUAGGGUUUAGGGUUUAGGGUUUAGGGUUUAGGGUUUAGGGUUUAGGGUUUAGGGUUUUAGGGUUUAGGGUUUAGGGUUUAGGGUUUAGGGUUUAGGGUUUAGGGUUUAGGGUUUAGGGUUUAGGGUUUAGGGUUUAGGGUUUAGGGUUUAGGGUUUAGGGUUUAGGGUUUAGGGUUUAGGGUUUAGGGUUUAGGGUUUAGGGUUUAGGGUUUAGGGUUUAGGGUUUAGGGUUUAGGCCUUAGGGUUAGGGUUUAGGGUUUAGGGUUUAGGGUUUAGGGUUUAGGG